Transfer RNA from Toxocara canis (dog roundworm), 72 nucleotides. It matches the Rfam family "tRNA". Rfam says of the family: Transfer RNA (tRNA) molecules are approximately 80 nucleotides in length. NCBI's taxonomy places the organism in Eukaryota, Metazoa, Nematoda, Chromadorea, Rhabditida, Toxocaridae. The record is from Rfam.
GCGGCAGUAGCUCAGCGGUAGAGCCACCGCUUCGCACGCCGGGAGACCUGGGUUCGAUUCCCGGCUGCUUCC